CCUUUACUAUAGCUUCGCCUUGGCGUUAGCGACCGUAUGUGUAGGAUAGGUGGGAGGCUAUGAAACCGGGGCGCCAGCUCUGGUGGAGCCAUCCUUGAAAUACCACCCUUACUGUCGUUGACGUCUAACCGAGGGCCGUUAUCCCGGUCCCGGGACAUGGCGUGGUGGGUAGUUUGACUGGGGCGGUCGCCUCCCUAAAGUCGUAACGGAGGCGCGCGAUGGUGGGCUCAGACCGGUCGGAAAUCGGUCGUCGAGUGCAAUGGCAUAAGGCCCGCCUGACUGCGAGACUGACAAGUCGAGCAGAGACGAAAGUCGGCGCAUAGUGAUCCGGUGGUCCCGCGUGGAAGGGGCCAUCGCUCAACGGAUAAAAGGUA
This 374-nucleotide ribosomal RNA is filed under the name uncultured alga. Its description in RNAcentral is "bacterial LSU rRNA". It matches the Rfam family "Bacterial large subunit ribosomal RNA", at positions 2098 to 2465 of the family's 2925-position model. The record is from RNAcentral.